This is a small nucleolar RNA of Hevea brasiliensis (rubber tree), 107 nucleotides long. Lineage: Eukaryota; Viridiplantae; Streptophyta; Magnoliopsida; Malpighiales; Euphorbiaceae. The record is from RefSeq and is a predicted model, not a curated record.
AUGCCAUGGUGUGGGCAUUCUCUUUAGAGGUCUUUGUACCUUUCCCAUGCAUCAUAAAGUGAUUUUCCUUCCUUUUACCAGAAAGUAUUCAACUCUAUCCUCAAUUU